UACGUAGGGUGCAAGCGUUAAUCGGAAUUACUGGGCGUAAAGCGUGCGCAGGCGGUUUUGUAAGCCAGAUGUGAAAGCCCCGGGCUCAACCUGGGAAUGGCAUUUGGGACUGCAAGGCUGGAGUUUGGCAGAGGAGACUGGAAUUCCUGGUGUAGCAGUGAAAUGCGUAGAUAUCAGGAGGAAUACCGAUGGCGAAGGCAGGUCUCUGGGCUAUAACUGACGCUCAUGCACGAAAGCGUGGGGAGCAAACAGG
This 253-nucleotide ribosomal RNA is filed under the name uncultured bacterium. RNAcentral describes it as "partial 16S ribosomal RNA". It matches the Rfam family "Bacterial small subunit ribosomal RNA", at positions 524 to 776 of the family's 1533-position model. The record is from RNAcentral.